RNAcentral lists this ribosomal RNA (754 nucleotides) under Anthopleura dixoniana. RNAcentral describes it as "partial 12S ribosomal RNA". It matches the Rfam family "Bacterial small subunit ribosomal RNA", at positions 362 to 1423 of the family's 1533-position model. The record is from RNAcentral. Lineage: Eukaryota; Metazoa; Cnidaria; Anthozoa; Actiniaria; Actiniidae.
UCUUGUGCAAUAAACGAAAGUAUGACACAGAGAGGACACAUUUAAUUGAGCCCGUCAAAUUAAGUGCCAGCCGACGCGGUUAAACUUAAGGGCUGGUCUUUAUAAGUAAAAAGGCGUAAAGGAUGUGUAGGCCAAGAAACGAUCCAAGUAGGUAAAUGGAAUUUUUCUGGAGCGGUAGAAUGUGAGGAUAGAAAAUAGAACCCCUAAGGUAAAAACUAUUUACUACAAGGUAGGCUGAAACAUGAGAGUGUGGGGAGCAAACAGGAUUAGAGACCCUGGUAGUCCACACUGUGAACUUUGAAGAUGAUGCUUAGCAGACCCGAAAGGUAAAAUCUUCCGCCUGAGUAGUACGAUCGCAAGAUUAAAAUUCAAAAACUUUGGCUGUUCACUAUUUCGAUUAGAGGAGCGUGUAGUUUAAUUCGAUGGUCCGCGUGUUACCUUACCCCAACUUGAAUCUGUGACCGGUAUUGCAUGGCCGUCGUAAGUUCGUGUAUUAAGCUAGAAGGGACCCAACCCGGGCACUUGCCCGGAGGAAGUCAGGUCUUAUGAUCCGAAUGUUGGGGGAUUUUAUGCGCUACAUUUUCUUAUAUAAUGAGAAACCUGGAAGGUGAAUCUCUAAAGUAAGAGUUCGGAAGGUCGCUGUAAGACGACUGGAAGUUGGAUUUAAUAGUAAUCGGAAAGUAGGGCGUUCCGGUGAAUUGGUACAAGUGUUAGCACAAAUUGCCCGUCACCUUUACUUAGAAUGGUUAUUCGG